GUUCAUUGAAAUGCUCUCCCAGUAAUAUAAAGCUAUAUAUCUGAGUACACAGAGGACGAGUGCCCUGGAGAAUAAGUUUUCUUUAUUUUAAGGCGCAAUUUGGGCAUUUCCUAGGCAGCCACGGCGAUCUAUUAGAUUUGCUUUAACGAAGCUAUCAACCGGUAGAAGAUUGGUUUGUUCAGCAACCGGACACAGAAAACAACUUCAUUCUGCUCUCGGAGCGCGUUGGGCCUUGUAAUAAAUUUGGGAGAAGAUCGCGAUCUGGAAAUUCGUUUGUCAGUCCUGUAAAGAGUGAGCAAUUCUAGGAUCGCGUUGAAUUAAUUCCAGUUAUACACCAGAUUAAAUGUACGGGAUGCGUACUAGGAGUUGUUUACACUUACAAUUAUAUAUUGUACAUUAAAAAUGAAAAGGAGCAUUAUGAAUUAAAAGGUUCUCGGCUUUGUGCAGAGUCAGAUUAUCUUUAGUCACAAAUGAACUGAAAAUUUUUCCAUUAAAAUAAAUUUUGUAUGUUGCAUUGAAAUUGAUAAUUACAUGUAAGCAUUGACCAUCUGUAA
This is a long non-coding RNA of Mobula hypostoma (lesser devil ray), 554 nucleotides long. RefSeq lists it as uncharacterized. The record is from RefSeq and is a predicted model, not a curated record. NCBI's taxonomy places the organism in Eukaryota, Metazoa, Chordata, Chondrichthyes, Myliobatiformes, Myliobatidae. The transcript has 3 exons.